GUGAGGAAUAUUGCGCAAUGGAGGCAACUCUGACGCAGCCAUGCCGCGUGCAGGAAGAAGGCGCUACGCGCUGUAAACUGCUUUUAACCGGGAAGAAACCCCAGGACGUGUCCUGGGUUGACGGUACCGGAGGAAUAAGCACCGGCUAACUUCGUGCCAGCAGCCGCGGUAAUACGAAGGGUGCAAGCGUUAUCCGGAUUCAUUGGGUUUAAAGGGUGCGUAGGCGGAGCGUUAAGUCAGUGGUGAAAUCCUGCAGCUUAACUGUAGACUUGCCAUUGAUACUGGCGCUCUUGAGUGCGCUUGAAGUGGGCGGAAUGUGCCGUGUAGCGGUGAAAUGCUUAGAUAUGGCACAGAACACCAAUUGCGAAGGCAGCUCACUAAGGCGAUACUGACGCUGAGGCACGAAAGCGUGGGGAUCGAACAGGAUUAGAAACCCUUGUAGUCC
RNAcentral lists this ribosomal RNA (445 nucleotides) under uncultured bacterium. RNAcentral describes it as "partial 16S ribosomal RNA". It matches the Rfam family "Bacterial small subunit ribosomal RNA", at positions 354 to 796 of the family's 1533-position model. The record is from RNAcentral.